Molecule: long non-coding RNA, 384 nt
Filed under: Ananas comosus (pineapple)
Lineage: Eukaryota; Viridiplantae; Streptophyta; Magnoliopsida; Poales; Bromeliaceae
Description: long non-coding RNA (ACOM_LNC038116)
Source: RNAcentral
CACUGACCGCACCUUUGAUCUUUCUCUGCUUCGCGCAUUCCAUAGAACCAUUCAUCCGCUCGGUUAGUCACUACUAUUUAUUCAUAAUCUUUCCUUUAAUACAGCUACGACUUAUUUUAUCUUAUAUGCAGCCGCUGCUUCGAGCGGAGACUCCCCAAUCGAUAUUGAUGUUCCAAAAGAAGAACCAGAAGACAUUUCUGAUAUCCCGCCUCAUUCCUCUGUAAUUAACUCUGCCUUUCUGUAGACUCUUUCUUUUCUGGUUAUGUUCAAUGCUUAUUUCGCUUUUAUUCACAGUCAAUUCUAACUUCUCCAUCGGUCUCAGCCUCAGAAAAAAGGCCGAUUGAGACUGCACAAUCUACUCCUCCGCCGGCUUCGAAACGGCGU